Molecule: unclassified non-coding RNA, 30 nt
Filed under: Mus musculus (house mouse)
Lineage: Eukaryota; Metazoa; Chordata; Mammalia; Rodentia; Muridae
Description: oocyte_clustered_small_RNA5526
Source: RNAcentral
UGGUAGUGAAUCAUCCGGGCAUUUGCCAUC